UUUUGAUGACCUCUUUCAAUUUGGUAGUGUAUGCAAAAAUUGGCGAGAAUUUCAUAAAAUUUAUUGGAGGAAUUUCAUGGCAUCCGAAGAACCAUUACUUAUCCAAUGGUGCGCUGUUAAGAGAUCUCUCAACUUCUUCAGCUUACCUCACGAUAAAGUUUAUCACUCAAAGAUGAUCAAUAACUACUUCCGAUUUGUCUAUCAUGGGUCUUCUAGCGGAUAUUUCAUCAUGACACGAAAAGAUAAUUCAUUUAUACUUAUUAAUCCAUUUACAAGAAGAAAGAUGCUAAUCAAUAACUCAGUCUUCCAAGUUAAUUUCAGUUAUUUUUCCUGCAAAGUCUUGCUUGCUUUUUCCAAAGGCUCAAAGGAAUUUGUCUUGGUGGUUUCAUGUAAAAAUUCUGAUAAUUUGCAUGUCUAUCAAUCUCGAAAUCUUUGUUGGACUGCUUAUUCGACACCACAGAAGGUUGUUGACUUUGCUGUUUUAAAUUCUAUCAUAUAUGUUGUCACUGACAAGGCCAGCAUAGGGAUACUCAGCUUGAAAUAUGCAAAUAUAAAUUUUUUAGAACUGAAGAGUACUCCUGGUGUAACUUCUAGUCGUUAUUGGUCACACGUAGGGUUGGUUAGUUGUGAUGGAUAUCUUUUAGUGCUUAAUUUUAUGUCAAAGGUAACGUAUAACGUGUACAAGAUAGACUUCUCUACCAUGGAUUAUGUCAAGUUGGAAUCUUUGGCUGACAUUGCAAUAUUUUGUGUUCCGCCGAAAAGGUAUUAUGCACUGAGCAACCCGCACAUGUGGGGUUAUGAGAACAAUUCUAUCUAUGCCAUCGAUGUUCCAUGUGGCAAAUACACGGUGUAUAAAGGAGAUAACAAAAAAAUGCCAGAAUUCAUUAUUCCUGGUUUUAAACGUAGUGAACUUCCACAUCCUAUUUAUUGCCGCUCAAAACAACGUUACAUAGAUUGGUGUUUUAGACAUCUACAAUAUGAGGUAGAUUAUACUCUCGUUGAGUAGCAUGCUUAUUACCCUACACUUUGGGUUGGACCUUGUUCUAUUUGUUUUUCUUUUGAUUUUCGAAUAAAUGGACAUGAUUUAAUGGUUUACGGUGUUAUUAUUGGACAAGUUUUGAGAUAGUAUAGAGGAUUUAAUGUACUUUUUCCUAGCUUGUAGUUGUAGCAUUUCUUGUCGUGGAUUGUGGCACAUUGAGGAGAAGCAUAUCAACCGAUUUUAUAAUAGAAUUUUGAUAUGAUUUUUUUUUACCAUUAUAUUUUUCUCGAAAAUGAAAUUAAUAGUGAUUCCUUUCCCUUUGCCUUACAAUACAACAAGCAUUUUACGAGAAUCUGAUAUUAAAUUUUGAGAACUAAUGAGAAUCUGAUUAAAUUUGGAAAACUAAUGAGAAUCUGAUAUUAAAUUUUGAAAACUAAUAAUUUAUUUAUUUAUUUUCUUAGAGAACUAUUGAUUUUUUAUAUGUAAAUUAGUGAUAUUAAGAGAUUCAAAGAGGUCCUUAAAUAAAAAGAAGAUGAAAUGAGAUUAGAAUAAACUAUUUUUCUAAAUUCAUGGCAUAAAAUAGUAGUAUAAACUUUUUUCCUAUAUUAUUUAUGCCAUAAUACAUUACUUUUUUUAUGAUUAUGUUGAUAUUUUUUUAUAUUAUAUACUCUAGGCGUCUGUCCGUUGAAAUCUGACAUAUGUUUUGGGGGAAAAUUUGACUCACUUGUGUUGUGAUACAUCUCUAUUAUAUAUUUACAAAUAUGUUCAAAAAUCAAUUCUAUCUUUACCCACACCCAUUCAUGAAGAUGCGGAAACCCUUGCUUAUUUUUCACUGAAUCGAGGUGGCGAGUUCAUUUGACAUUGUACUUAAGCUAUACAACACAUUGCUUCCACAAUACGACCUAGCAUUCACACUAUUAAAUAUUUGGUCCAUGACAAAAGUUUUACCUUUGUUGUUGAGGCCUAACACAACCCUAUCAUUCCAUCUGGAAAUGGGACCGGCUAUUCAUUGCAAAGCUAUAACUAGGUUGGAUUGGAAAUUAAACUACAGCAACUAGGCAUGAUUGGAAAUUAAACUACUUACAGAAAAACAUAAAAAAAAAAAAAGGGUAAUACAUAAUUAUAUUGUAUUAUAUUUAUAUGUUGGUCUUGAUAUUUGUUUCGAAAAAAUGGGAAAAUAAUAUUUCUUUAUCUCCUCAUUUUCUAUGAUAUUAUGGGUCCAUAAUAAUAAUAAUAAAAAAAAAAUCAUGUUUUAGAAAUAUAGAAAGAAAAAAAAGUUUGAAAAUUACCUAACAUCGUCGUUUGUUGUGAUACAAAGGACAAAAAAAGAAGAAGGUAGAAGAGAACUGUCAACUUCCUUGGGAUUUGCUUGACAUCAUUUUGAAGAAUCUAGAUUUUGAUGACCUCAUUCAAUUUGGUAGUGUAUGCAAAAAUUGGCGAGAAUUUCAUAAAAUUUAUUGGAGGAAUUUCAUGGCAUCCGAAGAACCGUUACUUGUCCAAAGGUGCGCUUUUAAGAAAUCUUUCAACUUCUUGAGCUUACCUCACGAUAAAGUUUAUCACUCAAAGAUGAUCAAUAACUACUUCCGAUUUGCCUAUCAUGGGUCUUCUAACGGAUAUUUCAUCAUGACACGAAAAGAUAAUUCAUUUAUACUUAUUAAUCCAUUUACAAGAAGAAAGAUGCUAAUCAAUAACUCAAUCUUCGAAGUUGCUUUCCAUUUUUUUUCGUGCCAAGUCUUGCUUGCUUUUUCCAAAGGCUCGGAGGAAUUUGCCUUGGUGGUU
Molecule: long non-coding RNA, 2758 nt
Filed under: Medicago truncatula (barrel medic)
Lineage: Eukaryota; Viridiplantae; Streptophyta; Magnoliopsida; Fabales; Fabaceae
Description: long non-coding RNA (MTRU_LNC004585)
Source: RNAcentral